UACGGAGGGUGCAAGCGUUGUCCGGAUUUAUUGGGUUUAAAGGGUGCGUAGGCGGGCGAUUAAGUCGGUGGUGAAAGCCGACAGCUCAACUGUCGAAUUGCCAUUGAUACUGGUUGUCUUGAGUGUAGUUGAGGCAGGCGGAAUUUACGAUGUAGCGGUGAAAUGCAUAGAUAUCGUAAAGAACACCUAUAGCGAAGGCAGCUUGCUAAGCUACUACUGACGCUGAGGCACGAAAGCAUGGGGAGCGAACAGG
Molecule: unclassified non-coding RNA, 253 nt
Filed under: uncultured Cyclobacteriaceae bacterium
Lineage: Bacteria; Pseudomonadati; Bacteroidota; Cytophagia; Cytophagales; Cyclobacteriaceae
Description: contains 16S-23S intergenic spacer region
Rfam family: Bacterial small subunit ribosomal RNA
Source: RNAcentral